UUCCUUAUAGACUGGGAGCUCGCUC
Molecule: non-coding RNA, 25 nt
Filed under: Mus musculus (house mouse)
Lineage: Eukaryota; Metazoa; Chordata; Mammalia; Rodentia; Muridae
Source: RNAcentral